Molecule: ribosomal RNA, 253 nt
Filed under: uncultured bacterium
Lineage: Bacteria
Description: partial 16S ribosomal RNA
Rfam family: Bacterial small subunit ribosomal RNA
Source: RNAcentral
CACGUAGGGCGCAAGCGUUGUCCGGAAUUAUUGGGCGUAAAGAGCUCGUAGGUGGUUUGUUACGUCUGCUGUGAAAACCUAGGGCUUAACCCUGGGCUUGCAGUGGAUACGGGCAGACUAGAGGUAGGUAGGGGAGAAUGGAAUUCCCGGUGUAGUGGUGGAAUGCGUAGAUAUCGGGAGGAACACCAGUGGCGAAGGCGGUUGCCUGGAGCUUUGCUGACGCUGAUGCGCGAAAGCGUGGGGAGCGAUCCGG